AUGAUGCGGGUGAACCUGUGGGCGCUGACGGAGGUGACGGCCGCGGUGCUGCCGGGGAUGGUGCAGCGGGGCAGGGGCGCCGUCGUCAACAUAGGCUCCGGGUCGUCGGAGGCCAUCCCUUCCUUCCCCCUCUACACCAUCUACGCCGCUUCCAAACGGUACUGCAUGCAUACGCUCUUGUCAAUUUCACUGCACAUACGUAUCUUGGAUUCUUGGGUAGGUCGCCCGCCGAAAGGCGCUUUGGUUGGUUUGCGCUUGCUGCUUUUUUAA
RNAcentral lists this ribosomal RNA (270 nucleotides) under Triticum aestivum (bread wheat). RNAcentral's name for it is "partial small subunit ribosomal RNA". The record is from RNAcentral. Lineage: Eukaryota; Viridiplantae; Streptophyta; Magnoliopsida; Poales; Poaceae.